CCAAUAGCGUAUAUUAAAGUUGUUGCAGUUAAAAAGCUCGUAGUUGAAUUUCGGGGUUAGUAGGUUGGUCAUGCCUCUGGUAUGUACUGGUCUCACUGAUUCCUCCUUCCUGAUGAACCGUAAUGCCAUUCAUUUGGUGUUGCGGGGAAUUUGGACUGUUACUUUGAAAAAAUUAGAGUGUUUAAAGCAGGCUAACGCUUGAAUACAUUAGCAUGGAAUAAUGAAAUAGGACGUCCGAUCCUAUUUUGUUGGUUUUUAGGAUUGAUGUAAUGAUUAAUAGGGAUAGUUGGAGGCAUUAGUAUUCAAUUGUCAGAGGUGAAAUUCUUGGAUUUAUUGAAGACUAACUACUGCGAAAGCAUUUGCCAAGGAUGUUUUCAUUAAUCAAGAACGAAAGUUAGAGGAUCGAAGACGAUCAGAUACCGUCGUAGUCUUAGCCAUAAACUAUGCCGACUAGGGAUCGGAUGAUGCUUAUUUUUAAUGACUCAUUCGGCACCUUACG
Molecule: ribosomal RNA, 499 nt
Filed under: uncultured Glomeromycotina
Lineage: Eukaryota; Fungi; Glomeromycota
Description: partial small subunit ribosomal RNA
Rfam family: Eukaryotic small subunit ribosomal RNA
Source: RNAcentral